Molecule: long non-coding RNA, 765 nt
Organism: Brachypodium distachyon (stiff brome)
Lineage: Eukaryota; Viridiplantae; Streptophyta; Magnoliopsida; Poales; Poaceae
Exons: 3
Source: RefSeq, a predicted model, not a curated record
CAUUCGUCGGCCCACGAAGCCUUCUUCUUCCUCCAGCCGCUAGACAGAGCCCGACUGGACCAGCCCUGCUGCAGCAGCCAGAAAUCCACCACCGGCCACCGGCGCUGAAGGGGGCAGUGGGCAAAAGGAGGAGGAGGCACCGGAGUAUGAACUGGAAUUGGUAGCUGGAUGAGGCGGAGGCGCCGGGGCCGGAACUGCCCCACCACCGGCCUCGGAGUGCGCGCCAGGCGCGCCCUUGAGGCGCCGCUGCGCGUGUCUCCCGGAGUCCGUCCACUCUCGGCUGCUCAGCCAUUCUCCGCCACCGCCGGCCGUCCUGUCGGCCAGACUCUAUUCCAAACACCGUUUUCCCCGGCGUCUAGAGCGGCAAGUCGCCGUUCUCGAGGAAGACGAAGCUCCAGUCCAGGGACCUCAACUGAGCUAAGGAUUUGGCUAGCGCGAACAAGGCAAUGGUUUUCUCAGGGGGAAAAAAGGCCAGGAAAUGGUCCUGGGCCGGGUGGCGCGGCGGGCAGCUGUGGAGCGCGUGGGGAAAUAGUGGACCUGGGCCGCGUAGUGCAACCAGACAAGAGUAUGGAAGAGGAGGAUGGCUGGGCCAACAGAGAAAGAAGGUUAAUUUCCCUAAAAAAAAGAAGAAGAAAGAAGGUUAAUUGUUUGAAAUCUGGACUCAGAUUUCAAAAAGAUUAGUCAUUAUUUACAAAUCCUACAGCUAAUAUUAACUACCAACUGAUCAAUCACCAUCACAAAUGAUUAGUUCAUCUUUUAUGUGCA